CAAGACAACUUUACGGAGUUGACGAUUGACGGAGCGAAGCGACGUCAAAGCGUUCAUUAAAGUCGAGUUGGCUUAGGGAUACGUUCGUUGGGUAGGGGAGCGUUCUGUAAGCCUGUGAAGGUGUGUCGUGAGGCAUGCUGGAGGUAUCAGAAGUGCGAAUGCUGACAUAAGUAACGAUAAAGCGGGUGAAAAGCCCGCUCGCCGGAAGACCAAGGGUUCCUGUCCAACGUUAAUCGGGGCAGGGUGAGUCGACCCCUAAGGCGAGGCCGAAAGGCGUAGUCGAUGGGAAACGGGUUAAUAUUCCCGUACUUGGUGUUACUGCGAAGGGGGGACGGAGAAGGCUAUGUUGGCCGGGCGACGGUUGUCCCGGUUUAAGCGUGUAGGUGUGUGUUCCAGGUAAAUCCGGUUCACUUUAACACUGAGGCGUGACGACGAGGCACUACGGUGCUGAAGCAACAAAUGCCCUGCUUCCAGGAAAAGCCUCUAAGCAUCAGGUAACAC
RNAcentral lists this ribosomal RNA (501 nucleotides) under Salmonella enterica. RNAcentral's name for it is "partial 23S ribosomal RNA". It matches the Rfam family "Bacterial large subunit ribosomal RNA", at positions 1163 to 1637 of the family's 2925-position model. Lineage: Bacteria; Pseudomonadati; Pseudomonadota; Gammaproteobacteria; Enterobacterales; Enterobacteriaceae. The record is from RNAcentral. RNAcentral also lists the same sequence under 2 other names.